GGGCCCGUGGUCUAGUGGCAUGACGUCUGCUUGACGUGCAGGAGGUCCCCGGUUCAAGUCCGGGCGGGCCCA
RNAcentral lists this transfer RNA (72 nucleotides) under Candidatus Woesearchaeota archaeon ex4484_78. Its description in RNAcentral is "tRNA-Val". It matches the Rfam family "tRNA". Rfam says of the family: Transfer RNA (tRNA) molecules are approximately 80 nucleotides in length. Their secondary structure includes four short double-helical elements and three loops (D, anti-codon, and T loops). Further hydrogen bonds mediate the characteristic L-shaped molecular structure. tRNAs have two regions of fundamental functional importance: the anti-codon, which is responsible for specific mRNA codon recognition, and the 3' end, to which the tRNAs corresponding amino acid is attached (by aminoacyl-tRNA synthetases). tRNAs cope with the degeneracy of the genetic code in two manners: having more than one tRNA (with a specific anti-codon) for a particular amino acid; and 'wobble' base-pairing, i.e. permitting non-standard base-pairing at the 3rd anti-codon position. The record is from RNAcentral. Lineage: Archaea; Nanobdellati; Candidatus Woesearchaeota. RNAcentral also lists the same sequence under 1 other name.